RNAcentral lists this ribosomal RNA (488 nucleotides) under uncultured bacterium. RNAcentral describes it as "partial 16S ribosomal RNA". It matches the Rfam family "Bacterial small subunit ribosomal RNA", at positions 28 to 507 of the family's 1533-position model. The record is from RNAcentral.
GACGAACGCUGGCGGCGUGCUUAACACAUGCAAGUCGAACGGAAAGGCCCUGCUUUUGUGGGGUGCUCGAGUGGCGAACGGGUGAGUAACACGUGAGUAACCUGCCCUUGACUUUGGGAUAACUUCAGGAAACUGGGGCUAAUACCGGAUAGGAGCUCCUGCUGCAUGGUGGGGGUUGGAAAGUUUCGGCGGUUGGGGAUGGACUCGCGGCUUAUCAGCUUGUUGGUGGGGUAGUGGCUUACCAAGGCUUUGACGGGUAGCCGGCCUGAGAGGGUGAGCGGCCACACUGGAACGGAGACAGGGGCCAGAGUCCUAAGGGAGGCAGCAGGGGGGAAUAGUGGACAAGGGGCGGAAGCCUGAUGCAGCCAUGCCGCGUGGAUGAAGAAGGCCUUCGGGUGGUAAAGGAGUGUCAGGGGGGAGGAAGGGAGUAAAGUGAAGACCGUGGCGCAGUGACGGGACCAGCAGAAGAAGCACCGGCUAACUCCGUG